This 521-nucleotide ribosomal RNA is filed under the name uncultured Glomus. Its description in RNAcentral is "SSU rRNA". It matches the Rfam family "Eukaryotic small subunit ribosomal RNA", at positions 591 to 1113 of the family's 1831-position model. The record is from RNAcentral. Lineage: Eukaryota; Fungi; Glomeromycota; Glomeromycetes; Glomerales; Glomeraceae.
CCAAUAGCGUAUAUUAAAGUUGUUGCAGUUAAAAAGCUCGUAGUUGAAUUUCGGGGUUAGUAGGUUGGUCAUGCCUCUGGUAUGUACUGGUCUCACUGAUUCCUCCUUCCUGAUGAGCCGUAAUGCCAUUAAUUUGGUGUCGCAGGGAAUCAGGACUGUUACUUUGAAAAAAUUAGAGUGUUUAAAGCAGGCUUACGCUUGAAUACAUUAGCAUGGAAUAAUUAAAUAGGACGUUUGACCCUAUUUUGUUGGUUUCUAGGAUUGACGUAAUGAUUAAUAGGGAUAGUUGGGGGCAUUAGUAUUCAAUUGUCAGAGGUGAAAUUCUUGGAUUUAUUGAAGACUAACUACUGCGAAAGCAUUUGCCAAGGAUGUUUUCAUUAAUCAAGAACGAAAGUUAGGGGAUCGAAGACGAUCAGAUACCGUCGUAGUCUUAACCAUAAACUAUGCCGACUAGGGAUCGGAUGAUGUUAAUUUUUUAAUGACUCAUUCGGCGCCUUACGGAAAACCAAAGUGUUUGGGUU